RNAcentral lists this ribosomal RNA (464 nucleotides) under Vreelandella stevensii. RNAcentral describes it as "partial 16S ribosomal RNA". It matches the Rfam family "Bacterial small subunit ribosomal RNA", at positions 339 to 795 of the family's 1533-position model. The record is from RNAcentral. Lineage: Bacteria; Pseudomonadati; Pseudomonadota; Gammaproteobacteria; Oceanospirillales; Halomonadaceae.
CUACGGGGGGCUGCAGUGGGGAAUAUUGGACAAUGGGCGAAAGCCUGAUCCAGCCAUGCCGCGUGUGUGAAGAAGGCCUUCGGGUUGUAAAGCACUUUCAGUGGGGAAGAAAGCCUUGGGGCUAAUACCCUCGAGGAAGGACAUCACCCACAGAAGAAGCACCGGCUAACUCCGUGCCAGCAGCCGCGGUAAUACGGAGGGUGCGAGCGUUAAUCGGAAUUACUGGGCGUAAGGCGCGCGUAGGCGGUCUGAUAAGCCGGUUGUGAAAGCCCCGGGCUCAACCUGGGAACGGCAUCCGGAACUGUCAGGCUAGAGUGCAGGAGAGGAAGGUAGAAUUCCCGGUGUAGCGGUGAAAUGCGUAGAGAUCGGGAGGAAUACCAGUGGCGAAGGCGGCCUUCUGGACUGACACUGACGCUGAGGUGCGAAAGCGUGGGUAGCAAACAGGAUUAGAUACCCGAGUAGUC